Molecule: ribosomal RNA, 378 nt
Filed under: uncultured bacterium
Lineage: Bacteria
Description: bacterial SSU rRNA
Rfam family: Bacterial small subunit ribosomal RNA
Source: RNAcentral
AGAGGGUGCAAGCGUUAAUCAGAAUGACUGGGCGUAAAGGGCGUGUAGGUGGUUGACUAGGUUUGAUGUGAAAUCCCCGGGCUUAACCUGGGAAUUGCGUCGAAAACGGGUCGACUUGAGUGAGAUAGAGGGUUGUGGAAUUUCCGGUGUAGCGGUGAAAUGCGUAGAUAUCGGAAAGAACAUCAGUGGCGAAGGCGACAACCUGGAUCUUAACUGACACUGAGGCGCGAAGGCGUGGGGAGCAAACAGGAUUAGAUACCCUGGUAGUCCACGCAGUAAACGAUGAGAACUGGCUGUGAUGUGUAGGGAGCAAUCUCUGCAUGACGUAGCGAASUAACGCGUUAAGUUCUCCGCCUGGGGAGUACGGCCGCAAGGUUA